UACGGAGGGAGCUAGCGUUGUUCGGAAUUACUGGGCGUAAAGCGCACGUAGGCGGUUACUCAAGUCAGGGGCGAAAGCCCGGGGCUCAACCCCGGAACUGCCUUUGAAACUAGGUAGCUAGAAUCUUGGAGAGGUCAGUGGAAUUCCGAGUGUAGAGGUGAAAUUCGUAGAUAUUCGGAAGAACACCAGUGGCGAAGGCGACUGACUGGACAAGUAUUGACGCUGAGGUGCGAAAGCGUGGGGAGCAAACAGG
This 253-nucleotide ribosomal RNA is filed under the name uncultured bacterium. RNAcentral describes it as "partial 16S ribosomal RNA". It matches the Rfam family "Bacterial small subunit ribosomal RNA", at positions 524 to 776 of the family's 1533-position model. The record is from RNAcentral.